Molecule: ribosomal RNA, 367 nt
Filed under: uncultured organism
Description: bacterial LSU rRNA
Rfam family: Bacterial large subunit ribosomal RNA
Source: RNAcentral
CUUUACUGCAACUUGGCAGUGAUUUUCGGGAUGUUCUGCGUAGGAUAGGUGGGAGGCUUUGAAGCUGGGCUUCUGGGUUCAGCAGAGCCAACGUUGAAAUACCACCCUGGAUAUUCUGGAAAUCUAACCUAGGCCCGUGAUCCGGGCCAGGGACACUGCCUGGCGGGCAGUUUGACUGGGGCGGUCGCCUCCAAAAAAGUAACGGAGGCGUGCGAAGGUUCCCUCAGCCUGAUUGGAAACCAGGCGUAGAGUGCAAACGCACAAGGGAGCUUAACUGUGAGACCGACAGGUCGAACAGGUGCGAAAGCAGGCGUUAGUGAUCCGGUGGUUCUGCAUGGAAGGGCCAUCGCUUAUCGGAUAAAAGGUA